Molecule: ribosomal RNA, 465 nt
Filed under: uncultured bacterium
Lineage: Bacteria
Description: partial 16S ribosomal RNA
Rfam family: Bacterial small subunit ribosomal RNA
Source: RNAcentral
GACGAACGCUGGCGGCGUGCUUAACACAUGCGAGUCGAACGGAAAGGCCCCUUUGGGGGUACUCGAGUGGCGAACGGGUGAGUAACACGUGAGUAACCUGCCCUUGACUUCGGGAUAACUUCAGGAAACUGGGGCUAAUACCGGAUAGGAAUCCUUGCUGCAUGGUGGGGGUUGGAAAGCUUCGGCGGUUUUGGAUGGACUCUCGGCUUAUCAGCUUGUUGGUGGGGUAGUGGCUUACCAAGGCUUUGACGGGUAGCCGGCCUGAGAGGGCGACCGGCCACAUUGGGACUGAGAUACGGCCCAGACUCCGACGGGAGGCAGCAGUGGGGAAUAUUGCACAAUGGGCGGAAGCCUGAUGCAGCAACGCCGCGUGCGGGAUGACGGCCUUCGGGUUGUAAACCGCGUUCAGCAGGGGCGAAGCUUGUGGUGACGGUACCUGCAGAAGAAGCACCGGCUAACUACGUG